AAAAACAUUUCCUCUUGGUAUAAGAGGUAAGGCCUGCUCACUGACUAGGUUGAAGAGCCGCAGUAUAUUGACUGUGCUAAGGUAGCAUAAUCAUUAGUCCUUUAAUUGGGGACUGGUAUGAAUGGCUAAACGAGAAAUUAGCUUUCUUUGUUAUGGUUUGUUGAAUUUAACUUGUAAGUGAAAAGGCUUACAUGAUUCAGAAAGACGAGAAGACCCUAUAGAGUUUUACAAAGGCCUAAAAUACAGCUUAUUAGUUUUUAAGGGUUAUAUUUUGGAAAUUUGUUUGGUUGGGGCGACAUAAAGAUAAAAAAAACUCUUUGUAGUAUAAACUUUGGUGAAAGAAAAGGUUUGAUCCUCUAAAAGGGAUUAUAAGAAAAAAUUACCUUAGGGAUAACAGCGUAAUCUUCUUUUAGAGUUCAAAUCGACAAGAAGGUUUGCGACCUCGAUGUUGGACUAAAAUUUGGGCAAGGUGCAGCAGCUUUGUUUUUGGGUCUGUUCGACCCGUAAUAUUUUACAUGAUCUGAGUU
RNAcentral lists this ribosomal RNA (527 nucleotides) under Capitulum mitella. RNAcentral's name for it is "partial large subunit ribosomal RNA". It matches the Rfam family "Bacterial large subunit ribosomal RNA", at positions 1809 to 2611 of the family's 2925-position model. The record is from RNAcentral. Lineage: Eukaryota; Metazoa; Arthropoda; Thecostraca; Pollicipedomorpha; Pollicipedidae.